Molecule: ribosomal RNA, 253 nt
Filed under: uncultured bacterium
Lineage: Bacteria
Description: partial 16S ribosomal RNA
Rfam family: Bacterial small subunit ribosomal RNA
Source: RNAcentral
CACGUAGGCACCAAGCGUUGUCCGGAUUUAUUGGGCGUAAAGAGCGUGUAGGCGGCCAGGUAGGUCCGUUGUGAAAACUCGAGGCUCAACCUCGAGACGUCGGCGGAAACCCUCUGGCUAGAGUCCGGAAGAGGAGAGUGGAAUUCCUGGUGUAGCGGUGAAAUGCGCAGAUAUCAGGAAGAACACCCGUGGCGAAGGCGGCUCUCUGGGACGGUACUGACGCUGAGACGCGAAAGCGUGGGGAGCAAACAGG